GGCGAUGCGGCUUGCCGGAUGGAAUGAGAUCGACCAAGGAUAUGGCCAUUGCGUUCGAUACUCGGCGCAGCAGUACGAUGGAGAUGUUGCCUCUGCCACUCUCAAGUAGCGCAAUGUAACGUUCGGAAAUGCCCGACGUCUGGGCCAGCGNUGCGCGACAUGCCGCGAAUACCGCGUGCGGCCAUGACUCGUUGACCGAGUUCCUCCAGAAA
This 212-nucleotide unclassified non-coding RNA is filed under the name Hevea brasiliensis (rubber tree). Lineage: Eukaryota; Viridiplantae; Streptophyta; Magnoliopsida; Malpighiales; Euphorbiaceae. The record is from RNAcentral.